AGUAAAAAGCCUAUUCACAAAUCAGGGGUGAACCAGGUUGGGCUAGUUCAUAUUACCUGCUGGCGAAUCCGAGCACUAGAAUGGAGUGUGGGUUGGGCCG
Long non-coding RNA from Ochotona curzoniae (black-lipped pika), 100 nucleotides. RefSeq lists it as uncharacterized. The transcript has 3 exons. The record is from RefSeq and is a predicted model, not a curated record. NCBI's taxonomy places the organism in Eukaryota, Metazoa, Chordata, Mammalia, Lagomorpha, Ochotonidae.